This is a long non-coding RNA of Vigna unguiculata (cowpea), 1465 nucleotides long. The record is from RefSeq and is a predicted model, not a curated record. Lineage: Eukaryota; Viridiplantae; Streptophyta; Magnoliopsida; Fabales; Fabaceae.
UCCCUAAAUUGAAUUGGAAUUCAAAAUCCCUAAUUGCAAUCCUCUUCUUCGAUACACUUCCACGACAGAUGAAUCAAAAUCACUGAGCUCCUUUCCCUUCCCUCUGAAUCACGAUCACGGUAAUGGUGGUGCCUCCAUUUGGUGGUGGUCGUCUGGUCUGAGGCGUGGUGGUCGUUCGUCGUGUGUCUACGGUGUGGUGGUCGUUCAUCGUGUGUCUACGACGUGGUGGUCGUUCGUCGUCGCGGCAAAACGGUGUAUUCACACCCCAUAGGUUUGAGCGAUCUGCACCUGUAUUCACACAUCCUCUGCAGAUUCUGAGUUUCCAACCCUAAGACGUUUGUUUGACUGUCGUCUGGUCUGUGCGUGCUCAUUGGUGGUCUGAGUGGUCUACGACGAUGCUAGAGUCGACGUUGGUGGCCAUUUGGUAGUGUUGUGCACUGGUCUGCGACGACGUUUGGCCUCUCUACGUUAAUUGGAGUUUCUGUGGUGAGAAUUUUGGUGUUUCUCAAUUACCUUUUUCUUGUUAAAUGUUUGAGUCGAUUGUAAAUUAGUUUUAGCAAGGUGUAAUGCAGCGUCUGGUAUUUGUUCUUGAAUGGUGGAAAUUGUUGUUAAGGUCCUUGAAUAUACAGUUAUUCGAAACUCUAAUCAGUCCUUGAGUGUGUUUUCCAUUUGUUAAAUUAGUUAUCGAGAUUUGUGAGGCAAGUACUAAUUUGACUUGAGCAAUGCAUAUUCAGGGAAUCUAAGUGCAAUUUUCAUCAUUGAAUCACUAGCAUGACCAGCCGUAACGGUCUUUUUGGAUUUUUUUCUCAUAGGCACUUGUAAGAAAAAAAUGAAAUAAACUUUUGCAUAAACCCACAAGCUAAAUUUAGCUUAUGCAUAAAUUAAUUAUAAAAGCCCUUUCAUACUUGUUUCUCUAAAUAGAUUAUUUUUUACUUUGUACUUAUAGAGAAGUUUGCCUCUUCUUCUAGAAGCACUUGUGUGAAAUUUAUUCAAGCAGGUCAUCUUUGAGGGACUAUUUUGGCUAUUUGCUCUGAAUAUUUUCUUUUUUGGAUUUCCAUUAAUUUUUAUAGUGCCGAACAUGUCCAAAUUCUUCUUUGGGAACUAGCCAGAACAUUGCAUCUCUGUGGUGGCUGCAUUAAGCUUGGAAACUUUGGCAGCAACUUGCUGUUUGGUUUACCUCCUUUGGUGCCCGGGUUAAGUUUAACACUUGCUGAUGUUGGUGGCCAUUUGUUAGUGUUGUGCACUGGUCUGCGACGACGAGGUGUUUUUUUGGUGUUUUCCUCCUCUACAAUCAUCCCCUGCCUGCUGCAAUCAUUGUCUGCUGCAAAUAGCAUGGAAUCUGAAACUAUUAAUCGAAGUGUGAAUGUGAAUGUUAAUGUUGAUGAUAAUAUACAUAAUCAAAUUGCUAAUGACCCACAAGAACCACCUUCUGUAAACAAUGAAGACAGUGAAGUUCAACAAGAAA